GAUCAUGGCUCAGGACGAACGCUGGCGGCGCGCCUAACACAUGCAAGUCGAACGGAGCUGAGAGAAGCUUGCUUUCUUAGCUUAGUGGCGAACGGGUGAGUAACGCGUGAGUAACCUGCCCUGGAGUGGGGGACAACAGUUGGAAACGACUGCUAAUACCGCAUAAGCCCACGAUCCGGCAUCGGAUUGAGGGAAAAGGNUUUAUCGCUUCAGGAUGGACUCGCGUCCAAUUAGCUAG
This 238-nucleotide ribosomal RNA is filed under the name uncultured bacterium. RNAcentral's name for it is "partial 16S ribosomal RNA". It matches the Rfam family "Bacterial small subunit ribosomal RNA", at positions 15 to 248 of the family's 1533-position model. The record is from RNAcentral.